AUUGAACGCUGGCGGUAUGCUUAACACAUGCAAGUCGAACGAUGAGAAAGAGCUUGCUCUUUCGAUUAGUGGCGGACGGGUGCGUAACGCGUAGGAAUCUACCUAUUAGUGGGGGACAACUUAGGGAAACUUAAGCUAAUACCGCAUACGCCCUACGGGGGAAAGAAGGGGAUCGCAAGACCUUUUGCUAAUAGAUGAGCCUGCGUAGGAUUAGCUAGUUGGUGGGGUAAAAGCUCACCAAGGCGACGAUCCUUAACUGGUUUGAGAGAAUGAUCAGUCACACUGGAACUGAGACACGGUCCAGACUCCUACGGGAGGCAGCAGUGGGGAAUAUUGGACAAUGGGCGAAAGCCUGAUCCAGCAAUACCGCGUGUGUGAAGAAGGCCUUAGGGUUGUAAAGCACUUUCAAUUGGAAGGAAAACCUCGAAGCUAAUACCUUCGAGUUUGACAUUACCUUUAGAAGAAGCACCGGCUAACUCCGUGCCAGCAGCCGCGGUAA
This 499-nucleotide ribosomal RNA is filed under the name uncultured bacterium. RNAcentral's name for it is "partial 16S ribosomal RNA". It matches the Rfam family "Bacterial small subunit ribosomal RNA", at positions 30 to 523 of the family's 1533-position model. The record is from RNAcentral.